GUACACACCGCCCGUCACACCAUGAGAGUUGAGAACUACCCGAAGCCCAUGUCAAAGUGGGUCGAAGGUAGGCUUGAUGAUUGGGGUGAAGUCGUAACAAGGUAAC
Molecule: ribosomal RNA, 106 nt
Filed under: uncultured bacterium
Lineage: Bacteria
Description: partial 16S ribosomal RNA
Rfam family: Bacterial small subunit ribosomal RNA
Source: RNAcentral